This 194-nucleotide ribosomal RNA is filed under the name uncultured bacterium. RNAcentral's name for it is "partial 16S ribosomal RNA". It matches the Rfam family "Bacterial small subunit ribosomal RNA", at positions 338 to 524 of the family's 1533-position model. The record is from RNAcentral.
CCUACGGGAGGCAGCAGUGGGGAAUAUUGGACAAUGGGCGAAAGCCUGAUCCAGCCAUGCCGCGUGUGUGAAGAAGGUCUUCGGAUUGUAAAGCACUUUAAGUUGGGAGGAAGGGCCAUNACCUAAUACGUGAUGGUUUUGACGUUACCGACAGAAUAAGCACCGGCUAACUCUGUGCCAGCAGCCGCGGUAAU